Molecule: transfer RNA, 79 nt
Filed under: Campylobacter gracilis RM3268
Lineage: Bacteria; Pseudomonadati; Campylobacterota; Epsilonproteobacteria; Campylobacterales; Campylobacteraceae
Description: tRNA-Glu
Rfam family: tRNA
About the family: Transfer RNA (tRNA) molecules are approximately 80 nucleotides in length.
Source: RNAcentral
UGACCUUUUCGUCUAGUGGCUCAGGACGUUGCAUUCUCAGUGCGAAAACGCGUGGUUCAAAUCCCGCAAGGGUCGCCAU